UGUGUGUGUGUGUUUGAAGGAGGGAAGGAAGCUUCUUGUGGAAACUUGAGGACAUGCGGCGGCUCCUGCAAACUCUCCUCAGAGCGAAAAGUUUCUGCGGAGCUGAAGGAGAAAAAGAAGGAGGCGGAGAAAUGAACUGAAGACAGCCGAGCGGAGGAAGAGGAGAGGAGGGAGGAGAGGAGGAGAAGGAGCCGUUCACUCCCAUUGAUCCGGUAUCGAGUAAAGAUGCAGGCUGCUGCGGUGGUGGCUCUGACCGCGCUGAGUGUUUUCUUCGGCGUGGACUGCCUGACUCCUCAUCGGACCAAACCGAACCAGAUACAGCAGCAGGACAGAAACGCUCAGAGCAAUGAAGCCGGACGGAAGAAGAAGAACCAGCCGCACAUCUUGUUUAUCCUCACAGACGACCAGGGUUUCAAUGAUAUUGGCUACCAUAACCCGACCAUCAAGACUCCAACUUUAGACAAACUGGCGGCGGAGGGCGUGAAGCUGGAGAACUACUAUGUUCAACCCAUCUGCACACCGUCACGCAGCCAGCUCUUGACUGGCAGAUAUCAGAUCCACACGGGGCUACAACACUCCAUCAUCAGACCCAGCCAGCCGAGCUGUCUGCCUUCACACAUGGACACGCUUCCCGAGAGGCUCCGCGAGGCCGGGUACAGCACGCACAUGGUCGGCAAGUGGCACCUGGGCUUCUACAGGAAGGCAUGCCUGCCCACGAGAAAGGGCUUUGACAGUUUCUUUGGAUCUUUAACAGGAAGUGUGGAUUACUACAGUUACGGGUCCUGUGAUGGCCCAGGGUUAUGUGGGUAUGAUCUCCAUGACGACGAGGGUGUGGCGUGGGGCCAGGAAGGGAAAUACUCGACCACGCUCUUCACACAAAGAGCUCGCAAGAUCCUCGAGAGUCACAACCCGGCAGACAAGCCUCUGUUUCUGCUGCUCUCCCUCCAGGCAGUCCACACUCCUCUAAAGACUCCCAAGUCCUACAUCUACCCGUACCGUGACAUGGCUAACGUCGCCAGGAGGAAGUUUGCCGCCUUGGUGUCCACGGUGGACGAGGCGGUCCGAAACGUCACCUACGCUCUGAGAAAGUACGGAUACUACCGGAACAGCGUCAUAAUCUACUCCACCGACAACGGUGCCCAGCCGUUCACGGGAGGGAGCAACUGGCCGCUACGAGGCCGUAAGGGUACGUACUGGGAAGGUGGAGUCCGUGGAGUGGCGUUUGUUCACAGCCCGCUCUUGAAACGCAGGAAACGGGUCUCCAAAGCUCUACUGCACAUCACCGACUGGUUCCCCACACUGGUGGGCCUGGCAGGGGGAAACAUCAGCAAAAGUCGAGGCCUGGAUGGUUUUGAUGUCUGGCCCACCAUCAGUGAAGGGAAGGAGUCGCCCCGUCAGGAGAUCCUUCACAACAUUGACCCUCUGCACAAACCUGUUAAAGGCGCGACCUGGGCUGCCAGCACAGAGGGAGCCUCAGGAACAGCAGGCCGGGACAUUACGAAGCCAAAGAAGAAGGUCCUGAGGCACCAACCAAAGCAGAAGUCAGCGUUCAAGUUGAAGACGCCCAAGAAGUCUAAACCAAAACCUAAAUCCAAGCCUCUUCCCAAACUGAAGCUGAAGCCUCCUCGAAAAUCAAAACUAAAACCCAAACUCAAGACAAAAGUCUACCCUCAGAGCCAGAGACCAUCACAUUACAAACUACGCCUGAAGUCGCCCUCCAUUUCGGGAACAUCUCGCCCUAAAUCACAGCCUCAGGUCCAACCAAGUUUUAAAUCAAAAUCCAGACAAACCAUAUCCCAGAACCACAAUCUGUCACGGUCAAGACCACCUCAACCAAAAUCCAAGACGCAGCUCGAAUUACAUUUAAAGUCAAAGUCCAAGAGGACAGUGUCCCGAUACCAAAAUAUGUCCCAGCCAGAGAUGCUGCUGCCCACAUCCCAUCCAACGCCCCAUUUGUGGCUCCAGCCUUCCCAGCCAGUGUGGGACACAUCAAUCCAGGCUGCCAUCAGAGUUGGAGACUGGAAGCUGCUAACAGGAGACCCAGGCCAUGGAGACUGGGUCCCUCCACAGGUGCUUCCCACUUUUCCUGGUUCCUGGUGGAGCCUUGAACGUUCCAUCGCAUCCUUCCACAAACCCUCCACCCACAAAAACAUCUGGUUGUUCAACAUCACAGCUGACCCAUGCGAGCGACGGGACCUUUCAGACCAGAGACCAGACGUGGUUCAACAGCUGCUGGCCCGACUUGUCCACUAUAAUCAAACGGCCGUGCAGGUUUACUUCCCGCCCGACGACCCACGAGCCAAUCCCGACCAACACGGCGGAGCCUGGGUACCCUGGGUGGACGAAGAGGAGGAUGAGGAGGGAAAAUAUAACGGAGUGUACAAGAAAGGUCGGAACAAUAAGAAGAAAAAAAAGAAGAAGUGUCGGUUGUGCAAGCUGCAGACCUUCUUUCUGAAACUGAACACCGGGAUGAUGUCCAAUCGGAUCUGAGAUUAUUGUGUCAGAGACAUUUUGAAAUGUUCUUUUUAUAUUGCCAAUGAGACAAAGUGGGAGCCAGGGGGGUUAAUUCCACUACGUUCAGUCGAAGUGAAACACUUUCAUGUCUUUUCACUGGCUUCACUUUCCCCCGUGUUCCUCCAGAAUGAAAAAAAAAUUCACGUCGUCUUAUUACUGUCAAAUCUGAGAUUAGACAUCACUGACAGUCCAUCUGGAUUCAUGAGAAGACUCAAUUCAGGCUUUUCAUUGACUUUUAAAGGAUCAGUUCACUCCAAUCGCAAUCUUCUCGCAAUAUAGCAAGAUAGCGAUGUUGCCAAGAUUUUUGUUUGCAACAGUUGCUGGUUGCAAGUUGUUUCCAAUGAAAAUCUUCAAAAAGGUUAUGUCUGGACUUCACGGAUAUACAAACAGUCCAAUUGCCCCAGACUUAACCUUUUUGAAGAAAGAUGACCUGGAUGACUGAGAAACUUCACAGAAUUUCCAAUGAAAACUGUCGGCAGUGAGUAACUCCUGCACCUUGUACAUUGUUUUAGGAAAGGAGCAUUGUUGUUGAGAUAGGUGCAGGGAUAAUCGGUUGGUAGUGGUAGAAAAUCUCAUCGAAAGAAUGUGAAACUAUGUGCGUGUCCAGACACUACUGAAGUAGUAGCAUGAAAAUGAUUUUGUGAUUCUCAAUGAACUGACCCUUUAAAUUAAAUUUUGAUUUCUACCUACUUUGGUGGUAAGGUGGUUUUUCCCACCCCUGUUCUUCACUGUCGUGAUGGCUGUUACCAUCACCUGAUUUAAUAUGUGACUUUAGAAAUGAUGUGUCCAUGUUAUUGUUAUUCCUUUUUUUAAUUGUUGUGACAGAGUUCUCGAUUCAAGGACCGACACUGUGUAGCAGUUACAUGUUUUUUUGACACUGUAAAUGAUUUGAUUAUGUUAUCUGUCUUUAACUUUGAGCAGAAUGAUCCAGAAAGGAUCAGUGUGGAGUGAUACACACAGGUCUUUAUGUAUGUUUACACCAACAGUUCAUACUUAAACAUCCCAGGUUUUUGUUUUGAAGCAAAUGUUUUGCUUUUUACGGUGAAAGUGCAUGAUUAUGAUAAUUAUUUCUAUGAUUACUUAAAGAGGUUUUUAAUAAUUUGACAUUUUUAGUUACACAUCACAGUGAACGCAGAUGUCUAUAAUGUUUGUUAGAAAUACUUGUGAUAUGUUGGUUCUCUUUAGGUUUUACUGUGUCUGUUUGAAUGUAUUGCCAAUGUGACUAUGAAUUUCCAGUAUGUAGUUUUAAUUCUGUACAUGCUACUGUGAACAGCAGAAACUCUCAUGUUAUUUCACAACCGUCUCAGCCCUGUACAUGGUUAAAACAAUAGUAAUAUUGUUUUAGAAAACUCCUCUACAACACUUCUUCCAAAGUUUCUUCUGAUACCCGUGUGAUGAUCCCUCGAGUCCAAUGAAAACAAACCCAAAAUGAACCAGUUGGACAUAAAGUUAUUAUUAUUCAGAAAGGCGGAGGAAGUAAAACAUGUUACAGCUAAUAUUUUACCAGCAUUAGUAACCUCUUUGAAGUAAGAUGUUAGUUUUCUCCAUUUGAGCAAGACACCUAACCUCUAAAUAUUUCAGUGUAUUUGCUCAAUAUCUAACAAACCACGAACGACCGCGGCUGCUGUAGCCCAGUUCACUAAAGCACACGGCAGUCUACAGAGUGUGUCUGAGACAUGGUUCAAGAGGACGUUUGAUUUCUCCACCCUGAGUAAAUAAAGGUGAAAUAAAAUUAA
Larimichthys crocea (large yellow croaker) is the source of this 4250-nucleotide RNA transcript. It is a transcript of the gene named arylsulfatase I, with no coding region annotated. The record is from RefSeq and is a predicted model, not a curated record. NCBI's taxonomy places the organism in Eukaryota, Metazoa, Chordata, Actinopteri, Sciaenidae. The transcript is spliced from 12 exons.